GACGUUAGCGACAGAAGAAGCACCGGCUAACUCCGUGCCAGCAGCCGCGGUAAUACGGAGGGUGCGAGCGUUAAUCGGAAUUACUGGGCGUAAAGCGCAUGCAGGUGGUUUGUUAAGUCAGAUGUGAAAGACCCGGGGCGUCAACCUACGGAAUAGCAUUUGAAACUGGCAGACUAGAGUACUGUAGAGGGGGGUAGGAAUUUCAGGUGUAGCGGUGAAAUGCGUAGAGAUCUGAAGGAAUACCGGUGGCGAAGGCGGCCCCCUGGACAGAUACUGACACUCAGAUGCGAAAGCGUGGGGAGCAAACAGGAUUAGAUACCCUGGUAG
RNAcentral lists this ribosomal RNA (327 nucleotides) under uncultured bacterium. RNAcentral's name for it is "bacterial SSU rRNA". It matches the Rfam family "Bacterial small subunit ribosomal RNA", at positions 471 to 793 of the family's 1533-position model. The record is from RNAcentral.